CCUACGGGAGGCAGCAGUGAGGAAUAUUGGUCAAUGGGCGAGAGCCUGAACCAGCCAAGUAGCGUGCAGGACGACGGCCCUAUGGGUUGUAAACUGCUUUUGUAUGGGGAUAAAGUCAAUCACGUGUGAUUGUUUGCAGGUACCAUACGAAUAAGGACCGGCUAAUUCCGUGCCAGCAGCCGCGGUAAUACGGAAGGUUCGGGCGUUAUCCGGAUUUAUUGGGUUUAAAGGGAGCGUAGGCCGGAGAUUAAGUGUGUUGUGAAAUGUAGACGCUCAACGUCUGACUUGCAGCGCAUACUGGUUUCCUUGAGUACGCACAACGUUGGCGGAAUUCGUCGUGUAGCGGUGAAAUGCUUAGAUAUGACGAAGAACUCCGAUUGCGAAGGCAGCUGACGGGAGCGCCACUGACGCUUAAGCUCGAAGGUGCGGGUAUCGAACAGGAUUAGAUACCCCGGUAGUC
RNAcentral lists this ribosomal RNA (460 nucleotides) under uncultured Prevotella sp. RNAcentral describes it as "bacterial SSU rRNA". It matches the Rfam family "Bacterial small subunit ribosomal RNA", at positions 338 to 795 of the family's 1533-position model. Lineage: Bacteria; Pseudomonadati; Bacteroidota; Bacteroidia; Bacteroidales; Prevotellaceae. The record is from RNAcentral.